AACACGGACCAAGGAGUCUAGCAUGUGCGCGAGUCAUUGGGAAUCACUAAACCUAAAGGCGUAAUGAAAGUAAAGGUUCGCCUCGCGCGGACCUAGGGAAGACGGGCGGUUUACCGUUAAAAGUGACCGCUCCGCACUCCCGGGGCGUCUCGUUCUCAUCGCGAGAAGAGGCGCACCAAGAGCGUACACGCUGGGACCCGAAAGAUGGUGAACUAUGCCUGGUCAGGACGAAGUCAGGGGAAACCCUGAUGGAGGUCCGUAGCGAUUCUGACGUGCAAAUCGAUCGUCGGAACUGGGUAUAGGGGCGAAAGACUAAUCGAACCAUCUAGUAGCUGGUUCCCUCCGAAGUUUCCCUCAGGAUAGCUGGCGCUCGUUGCGUACGAGUCUCAUCCGGUAAAGCGAAUGAUUAGAGGCAUUGGGGUCGAAACGAUCUCAACCUAUUCUCAAACUUUAAAUGGGUGAGAUCUCCGGCUUGCUCGAACUUAUGAAGCCGCGAGACACGGAUCAGAGUGCCAAGUGGGCCAUUUUUGGUAAGCAGAACUGGCGCUGUGGGAUGAACCAAACGUCGAGUUAAAGCGCCAAAAUCGACGCUUAUGGGAUACCAUGAAAGGCGUUGGUAACUUAAGACAGCAGGACGGUGGCCAUGGAAGUCGGAAUCCGCUA
This 663-nucleotide ribosomal RNA is filed under the name Viticis bidentatus. RNAcentral's name for it is "eukaryotic LSU rRNA". It matches the Rfam family "Eukaryotic large subunit ribosomal RNA", at positions 658 to 1273 of the family's 3401-position model. Lineage: Eukaryota; Metazoa; Arthropoda; Insecta; Coleoptera; Curculionidae. The record is from RNAcentral.